CUACAUCUUGAAAGAUUUUGACAUGGGAAGUUGGUACCAGCAACUGAAAAGCAGAACAAAAACACUUGGAUCGUAGGCUAACUCCUAAAAGAUUGAUCCCUGGUGCUGAUACAGGGUCUGCUAGCCUGAAUUUCUCCAACACUGAGUUUUCAACGUCCACCCUGCUCCCCUCCACCCGCCCCACAAAGUAUCAGACAGUGUUUUCCCAAUGGCAAGUUAGCUCAUGCAAAAGCAAAGAGAAUCCUGAUGCCAUCCUGCCUAUCCACACACUGACAGAAACCAUCCAAGAAGCCUUGGAAAAGUGUCAGAUUCCCGAUGAUGCUCAAGAUGCUUUUGGCCGAAGACCAUAAGUGCUGAGAACUUCCUUGCUUCCUCUCAACUCACUCUGGGAUCAUCUUUCAUAACUCUAAGCUUUUCUCCAUCAUAUGUUUCCAACCUACACUGCAACUCAAGGUAAUCUGCAUAUUUAUAAAUCAUUAAGUCAUCAACGAUUCCUUAUAUUUCACCUAAAACCACUACUGUGGCAAAUGCAAGAAGUCUUUUUUUAUUUUUUGAGAUGGAGUCAUGCCAAGUAGUCAUCAAUCUAUAAAGAAAUACUUAAAUGCAUUGUUGAGGAGGACUGCUAGUCAAAGGAGCCUCUCAGGAAGCUUAUGCAAUAGGAAAGAAUCACCCUGUCUUACUCUUUAAAAGACUUUCCUGCAAGAGAGGCACACCAGACUCAAAAUUUCAUGUACUGUGCAAAAACAUGCCCAGGCCUUUGGAGAACUGGUCUUUUAAACAAGAAUUGAGACCAGGUGCAAUGGUUCAUGCCUGAAUGCCCAGCACUUCGGGAGACCAAGGUGGGAGGAUCGCUUGAGGUCAGGAGUUCAAAACCAGCCUGGGAAACAUAGUGAGACUCUGUCUCUACAAAAAAUUAAAAAAACAAAACAAAACAAAAAAAAUCAAAAAUAAAUGAAUAGAUAAAAUAAACAUGAAAAAAAAGCUCAGCUAGAAUUACAGUAUUUUAACUGUAAGGUGAA
Molecule: long non-coding RNA, 1019 nt
Filed under: Homo sapiens (human)
Lineage: Eukaryota; Metazoa; Chordata; Mammalia; Primates; Hominidae
Description: long non-coding RNA NONHSAT219422.1
Source: RNAcentral